Molecule: non-coding RNA, 180 nt
Filed under: Paramoeba aestuarina
Lineage: Eukaryota; Discosea; Flabellinia; Dactylopodida; Paramoebidae
Source: RNAcentral
GGUUAUUAACCUCUCCAAAUGAGAACAUUAAAGCGCUCUCUUCUUUUAUUCUUCUAACUUUUGCUCGAGACUCUGCCCCAAACAGACAAUCCAUCCUCGGAUUAGGCGGUGUUCCUGCUUUUGUUACCCUUCUUCGUCAUCAUGACGCUCAAAUCAAAGUCAAAAGUGCUGAAGUUAUCU